UUACGACCAUAUCACGUUGAAACACCCAUUCUCCUACGAUCACCGAAGUUAAGCAACGUCGAGCCUGGUCAGUACCUAGAUGGGUGACCGCUUUGAAAUACCAGGUAAUGUAAG
This 114-nucleotide ribosomal RNA is filed under the name Acanthosepion pharaonis. The record is from RNAcentral. Lineage: Eukaryota; Metazoa; Mollusca; Cephalopoda; Sepiida; Sepiidae.